This 403-nucleotide ribosomal RNA is filed under the name uncultured bacterium. RNAcentral describes it as "bacterial SSU rRNA". It matches the Rfam family "Bacterial small subunit ribosomal RNA", at positions 362 to 757 of the family's 1533-position model. The record is from RNAcentral.
UUUUGGACAAUGGGGGCAACCCUGAUCCAGCAAUGCCGCGUGAGUGAAGAAGGCCUUCGGGUUGUAAAGCUCUUUUGUCAGGGAAGAAACACCGGCUCUAACACAGUCCGGGAAUGACGGUACCUGAAGAAUAAGCACCGGCUAACUACGUGCCAGCAGCCGCGGUAAUACGUAGGGUGCAAGCGUUAAUCGGAAUUACUGGGCGUAAAGCGUGCGCAGGCGGUUAUACAAGACAGGCGUGAAAUCCCCGGGCUUAACCUGGGAAUGGCCCCCUGUGACUGUAUAGCUAGAGUGUGUCAGAGGGGGGUAGAAUUCCACGUGUAGCAGUGAAAUGCGUAGAUAUGUGGAGGAAUACCAAUGGCGAAGGCAGCCCCCUGGGAUAACACUGACGCUCAUGCACGAA